CGCGCCCGCUAUGUAUGAAAAGGCGAGAGUGGCGGCUCAACUGCAAGCGGAGUCGAGGGCUCGCAAAGCUGCUGCAGCACGGCGACGCAGACAAUUUAUUAACAAGCGGACCCGGAGUCUAGGCAUAGCCUAUGGUCUAGGGCGCCGGGAAUUAAGCUGCAGCAGCACGGCAACGCCGGCAUGCAGACCCGGACCUGAGGGCUCGCAAAGCUGCAGCAGUGCGGCAACGCCGGCAAGCGGACCCGGAGCUGAGGGCUCGCGAAGCUCGCGCUUGAACCGAGCAUCGGCGCCAUCAACCUCAAGUAGAGAACGCUUCCGGCGUUUUGCCGCCGUUUCCCGCGCUCUCGCCGACUCUGGGUCCGCAUGCCGCAUGCCGGCGUCGCGCUUGAACCGAGCAUCGACGCCACCAACCUCAGGUAGAGAACGCUUCCGGCGUUUUGCCGCCGCUUCCCGUGCUCUCGCUGCCUCUGGGUCCGCUUGCCGGCGUCAGGGGAUUCACGGUUAACCGAAUGAUUCCCCGGUGCUUCGCCCACUCAUCAUCAUUCACUUCGUGGAUAUGCGGUGAUUUUUUCUGGUGACUUGUGAAAUGCGUAUGCCAAAAAUAAAAUAAGCUUUCGUGCGUUCGACCCAUGCGCGCAGCAUGGGAACUGUACGUGUGCAGAUUGGCUCAAAAAGAUACCUUGUCUAUCGUAUCACCCCCUCCUUUGUCGGUAUUGGUGUUAUCUUGAGUUCCUCAUCAGUAGCGAUGGCCGUUGAGGUUAAAGAUAACACGCCGAACUGUAAACGUCAACAGGCCACACGCAGGCGCGCGGCGGCGGUGCUGCGCUUCGGCUAUCCCGUUCACGUAGUGACUGCAGAUCCAGAUGGGAUUAUUGUGAGUUCCUCGUCAGGUAGCGAUGACCUUCGAGAUGUAAGAUAACACGCCGAACCGUAAACGUCGGAGGCCACAAGCGGACGCCCCGGCAGUGUUGCUUGGGUUAUCUCCAUCACGCAGGAUCUUGAGGGGAGGCCCUGCGGUCACUGCCCCCCAUUCCCGCCUUCCUGGACGCUACCCUGGAUCCGCCCCCCUGUUCAAUAGGCUACAGAUGCUCAAACUUCAGGUGCAGCCAGCAGUAUUGCAACUUCCAAACCCUGUCCGAACAAUCCAGUGACUUCAGAGAGACUGCAAGUGCAUGCCCACCAAGCCUCCACAGCUGCAUGUAAAGCUUUGGUGAAGGCGACAGCCAUGACCACAGCCGAAGCCACAGCCUGAGUUGCAACACGUAACAAAGCACAUCCUCUCUGACAUGCUGCCGCAAGCAUUCUCGCCACAGCCUGCCAACCAGGAGUCACAGUGUUAUCACUGCAUGUUCUCACUGCCUAAAUUUGGAAUCAAGCCAUGAACACUAAUCCAUCUUUGAUAGGUCACCACUUGCGUCCAGUGGGGGCCAGCAUGUUGCAGAAUGAGCAACCUAAACUGGUACUUCCACCUCAGUGGUCACCAACGAGAUCCCCAUCUAUUCACUGACCUCCACUGACGUUCACUUCGCAUUGAAGAUGUAGAAGACUGGCUCGACGACUAUGACCGAAUGUGUCUAUGCCUCCUACAAAAUGUCCAAGAAGUUGGCUGGGUUGUUCGGGCUUUGCCAGGGAUUCAGCUCGACCAUCCUCUUCUCGGAAAGCAUCCACUUGUUUGCUCUGUUACAUGACACAGCAGUUUGAUACACAAUUUAUUUACAAUUUUGAUAGUGAUAUGACUGUUUGCUGAUUGCCACCAAUGCUUUUCUUGUCUGGAACAAGUGUAAUGGCAAAUCUGCUUUCUGCCCUGCCACUCUACUGAAAUGAUGCAAAAAAAGUUAUAGUUUAAGUAACUGAUAUGUAAUAAUCAGGGUGAAUGAAAAAGGCAGUAUACUAGCAUAGAACAUAAUAUAUAGCAUGGGAUUGUGCCUGUCUUCAGAGAUCUGUACUCGUUUCAGUGACAGAAAUGCUAAAUGGUAGAUAAGUCAACUUCAGUACUUUGUAGCUUCAUCUACUUUUGGUAAAGCACUGGAAAAGGGUCAUGGAAAAUAUUAACAGUGUACAAAUAGAGUAAAAUUGUUGUUUGUUUAAUGCACAGAAAUACCCGUCGUGAUUGCUCAGUGGCUAUGGUGUUGAGCUGCUGUGCACAAGGUCGCGGGAUCGAAUCCUGGCCAUGGCGGCCGAAUUUCGAUGGGGGCGAAAUGCAAAAACACCCAUGUACUUAAAUUUAGGUGCACGUUAAAAAACCCUAGGUGGUCCAAAUUUCUGGAGUUCCCCACUAUGACAUGUUUCAUAAUCAGAUUGUGGUUUUGGCAUGUAAAACCCCAUAAUUUUUUUUUUUUUGAUGCACAGAAAUGUGGCAGUCUUCUUUACCGCCAAAAAAUGUGGUGCCUUCUAACCUUUAUAAAUGCUGUGUUCAUUUAUUUAUUUAUUUUAGUUUCAUAUUAUUUUCUUUCAUAUUAAUUGCUUUCAUUCAUAUUAUUCUGUUAAUUCAUAUUGUCGUGAAUGCAGCAUUAUUCAUAUUUCAUUUCAUCUGCUUCAUGUGUUCAGAAAUUAAUCGAUGCUGUUGUUGUGCUGCAUUGUAUGAAUUUAAUGUGAGAAAAAGAUGUAGUACUUUGCUUAAUAGAUGGUUGCAUAUUACAGUGUUACAUAAACAAAGUAAUUUGACGGUUUAGGCAUAAUGUCAAAAUUGCAUGCCAGAUCUGACCUCUAGUAUUGCCAGAGGGAGUUUGUAUUCAGAAUGUUUAUUUACGUAUACAGAGAUAGAAACUUGUUUGACGCAUGUGCUGCAUCAGUGCUCUGCUGCCACAACAGUAAUACAUGGUUGGAUAGUCCAAGAUUAUUGCAUAUUUUGCCUACAAGUGUGGCAAUUCUUUUUGGUUGCCUAAGUGUAGCACUCUAGUUCCAUCAAGUGUGUUCGCAUUGUUCACAUUGCCUUCGUGCACUCCAUGUAACAUUGCAGGUUCCUUGACGCCGGGGUCCCAGGAAUGGUACCAGUUAUUCGUGUCCGUGAGUGGAAGGCUGCAUUCCUGCCGGCUGUGCACCUAUGUGUCC
This is a long non-coding RNA of Dermacentor silvarum, 3051 nucleotides long. RefSeq lists it as uncharacterized. The record is from RefSeq and is a predicted model, not a curated record. NCBI's taxonomy places the organism in Eukaryota, Metazoa, Arthropoda, Arachnida, Ixodida, Ixodidae. The transcript has 4 exons.